Molecule: ribosomal RNA, 253 nt
Filed under: uncultured bacterium
Lineage: Bacteria
Description: partial 16S ribosomal RNA
Rfam family: Bacterial small subunit ribosomal RNA
Source: RNAcentral
UACGUAGGGUGCAAGCGUUGUCCGGAAUUAUUGGGCGUAAAGAGCUCGUAGGCGGUUUGUCGCGUCUGCUGUGAAAACUCAGGGCUUAACCCUGAGCUUGCAGUGGGUACGGGCAGACUAGAGUGCGGUAGGGGAGACUGGAAUUCCUGGUGUAGCGGUGAAAUGCGCAGAUAUCAGGAGGAACACCGGUGGCGAAGGCGGGUCUCUGGGCCGUAACUGACGCUGAGGAGCGAAAGCGUGGGGAGCGAACAGG